CAAUAGCGUAUAUUAAAGUUGUUGCAGUUAAGAAGCUCGUAGUUGGAUUUCUGGUGGGAGCGAUCGGUCUGGCGCUUAGCGCGAGUACUUGCAUCGUCUCCGGCCAUCCUUGGGGAGAGUCUGUCUGGCAUUAGGUUGUCGGGCAGAGGAUCCUCAUCGUUUACUGUGAAAAAAUUAGAGUGUUCAAAGCAGGCUUAUGCCGUUGAAUAUAUUAGCAUGGAAUAAUAAGAUAGGACUUUGGUACUAUUUUGUUGGUUUGCGCACCAAAGUAAUGAUUAAUAGGGACAGUUGGGGGUAUUCGUAUUCCGUUGUCAGAGGUGAAAUUCUUGGAUUUACGGAAGACGAACUACUGCGAAAGCAUUUACCAAGGAUGUUUUCAUUAA
RNAcentral lists this ribosomal RNA (383 nucleotides) under uncultured eukaryote. RNAcentral's name for it is "partial 18S ribosomal RNA". It matches the Rfam family "Eukaryotic small subunit ribosomal RNA", at positions 592 to 976 of the family's 1831-position model. The record is from RNAcentral.